CGGGUGAGUAACGCGUGAGAAUCUACCUUUUGGAGGGGGACAACACUGGGAAACCAAUGCUAAGACCCCAUAGGCUGAAAAGUGAAAAACGAAAGUUGCCAAGAGAGGAGCUCGCGUCUGAUUAGCUAGUUGGUAGUGUAAAAGACAACCAAGGCGACGAUCAGUAGCUGGUCUGAGAGGACGAACAGCCGCACUGGGACUGAGACACGGCCCAGACUCCUACGGGAGGCAGCAGUGGGGAAUUUUCCGCAAUGGGCGAAAGCCUGACGGAGCAAUACCGCGUGAGGGAGGAAGGCCUUUGGGUUGUAAACCUCAAAAAUUAGGGAAGAAAAAAAUGACGGUACCUAAUAUAAGCAUCGGCUAACUCCGUGCCAGCAGCCGCGGUAAUACGGAGGAU
This 397-nucleotide ribosomal RNA is filed under the name uncultured bacterium. Its description in RNAcentral is "bacterial SSU rRNA". It matches the Rfam family "Bacterial small subunit ribosomal RNA", at positions 103 to 533 of the family's 1533-position model. The record is from RNAcentral.